This is a long non-coding RNA of Arvicola amphibius (Eurasian water vole), 1126 nucleotides long. RefSeq lists it as uncharacterized. The transcript has 3 exons. The record is from RefSeq and is a predicted model, not a curated record. NCBI's taxonomy places the organism in Eukaryota, Metazoa, Chordata, Mammalia, Rodentia, Cricetidae.
UUGAUUGUUGUUUUAAGAUAAGAGCAUUCAGCUAUUGCUCCAACACCAUUCCUGCCGGAGUGAUACCAUGUUCCCUGCCAUGACAAUCAUGGACUCAUCCACUGAAACUGAAAGAAACGGGGGAAAGAAAACCUGAAGGCCUAGAGACCCAAGGUGCAUGUGAGCUUAGUCUUCUCAGAUGAGAGGCUGAACUCUUCCCACUACUGACACGUAAAGAAGGCAUGUCCUUGGCUGGUGUCGUGUAAAGGAAGCCCAGCUCUUCAGCAGAGCAGACCGCUUGAACUACCUGGACGUGCUCGGCUGUCACGAAGGGGAAGUGGAGGUGGUACUUGAGUCAGGCAUCCGUGGACUUUAAAACUAAUGAGCAAAAUCACUCCCCCCAAAAACCAGAUCGGAAUUCAUGGUAAUGUUCUGGUGCAGGUUCAUUCCAGGAAGACUCACAACCACGAAGCGUCUUCUAGUCACACUGGUGUUGAACACUUCUCCCGUGUUUCAUUCACUCAUUUCCAGGAGUGCAAAGCAAAUCCAAGUACUUGCCUGAAAGUGCUAUUUAUGCUCUUAAUUAAUGUUUUAAAUUAGCGUAAAAGUAGUGGGUUUCAUUAUAAUAUUUCCACAUAUAUUUUAUUUUAUUUCUUUCUUUACCCCACUGCCCUGCACGCCUAUUCCUACCACUUGCUUGGGCCUUUCCUUGUAACCACACCCUGCUAUUCUACCUUUAGAACAACGUAUAACAUUGCCCUCUUUCCUCUCCCCUCUCCCCGAGAAUCUCCUCUAUUCUCAUUGUCUUCUUUCUAGUGUAUCUCCUCCGUGCACAUAUACAUACAAACGUAAAUCUAAACUCCACAUAUGAGGGACUCUCAUCAUAUUUAUCUUCCUAAGUCAAGCUUAUUUUACUUAAACAUGAUUUCUCAUUCAAUUCCUUUUCUUGCAAAUAUGGCAACCAUUUUCUUUAUAAAAUUCCACUUUGUAUACACCACAUUUUAUUUACCCCGUUCAUCCAUUUGUCAAGAUCUAUCUUAGUUCUACUUCUUCACUAUUAUGAAUCGUGUAGUACUGAGCAUGGGUAUGCAAGUAUCUCUGUAAUAUUAUUAUUAUUAUUAUUAUUAAAAUUUAAAUUACACAGACA